GUGUACUAUUUGGUUCUUGUGAGCUCAUUUUUCUCGGAACAAAAUUAGGGCACACCAAAACACCAGUUUGACAGAUAUAGAUAUUCCGAUGAUGAGGAGAAUUUGUGUGCGGAAAUGCAAUGUUACUCUCUUCCAUCAAAUGGUCAAAGAUGCUGUUGAAUUGUUCAAAAAAUUGGUGAGAGACAAGAUAUGUGAAUCCUUCCGUCCUUGACAUGAUACAACAGCUUCAAUUGAAAAAUAAAAUAAGCUGAUGGCAAUUGGAACGUUGCUCGAGUUUGGUCCUGCAAAGGGCCUAUUCGAUUGGGAUUUUGAAGAUAUAAUUGAAUUGCUGCUGAAAUUGGAGGCUCUCUCUCCAUGAUCAAGUUGCUGACUUACUGUGGUGGAAGUUUCAGCAAGGCAGUUAAUUUCCUUGGGAGGCAUUCAAAAUGACUGACUGUUGAGAAUAUUUUGGAAGACAAUUGUAGCUCCAAGAGCUACCUGGUUCACUAGGCUUGUUUAACCCAUGACAACUUGCAAAAAGAGGAAUCGUUUUAUACAGCAGAUGCUUUUUGUUAAAGUAUUGAUGAAUUUAUAAAUCAUCCACUGCUUCACUAGACUGAUCUGGACAAUGUUUCUUGCUAUUUUUGGUGUCCAGUGGGUCAUGCCUGGAUGCAUUGAACUUGCACUGACCAGCUGGUGCGAGCAGUCCUCAUCAAGGGGCAACAAGCACCACACAACUUCUAUUCCUUCCUGCCUUUUCUGGUCUAUUUGUGUGGAGAGGAAAGAUAGACGUCUCAAUGACAUGAUAAACAACAUAAAGCAGGUCAAUAGAUGUUUAAAAAUCAUGUACCUAUGAUUCAGGAAGAAGCUUGUUCAGGUUAAUGGCUUAUAUGGGAUUUCGCUACAAAAAUGCUCACUUUUGUGUAUAGGAAUUCAAGAAAUGAUUUUUCACUGUUGAGAGCCAGUUCUGCUUUUCCUUUAUUACACUCUGGAACUGUUUCUCUAUUUAUCCAAGGAUGUUAGCUAGGUUUGAUUGCUGAAGAAUGAAAAUAAAGCAUGUUCUAAUAGACCGGAACAGGCUUGACAUGUAAGAUUGUUGAAAGAAAAUGAAAUGAGAUCCAUGAUUUUCAGGAGAGAAUGGCCAUUACGGAAGAUUCCUUCAUGUGACUGACAUUUAGACAACCUCUGGCCUUAUAUUUUCUGAUGGUUUCUACGAAAGGAGGAUAGAGAAGGACAAUUUCAACAAAAACUAAAAACUUAAAAGAUGGAAGAACAAGCAUUCUUACUGCUACAUGUCUAAUGGGUGGUUGCUGCACUUACUAGAUUUCUUCUGUUAAUAUUGACAUAAUCUUUCUUGUUAUGUCACUCACUUUGUUAGUAUUAGAGGUUAGGGUUUUAGUAAAUU
Molecule: long non-coding RNA, 1384 nt
Organism: Solanum dulcamara
Lineage: Eukaryota; Viridiplantae; Streptophyta; Magnoliopsida; Solanales; Solanaceae
Exons: 3
Source: RefSeq, a predicted model, not a curated record